RNAcentral lists this ribosomal RNA (447 nucleotides) under uncultured bacterium. Its description in RNAcentral is "bacterial SSU rRNA". It matches the Rfam family "Bacterial small subunit ribosomal RNA", at positions 330 to 792 of the family's 1533-position model. The record is from RNAcentral.
UCCAGACUCCUACGGGAGGCAGCAGUGGGGAAUAUUGGGCAAUGGAGGCAACUCUGACCCAGCAACGCCGCGUGAAUGAUGAAGGUCUUCGGAUUGUAAAGUUCUUUUCUAAGGGAAGAAGAAAGUGACGGUACCUUAGGAAUAAGCCUCGGCUAACUACGUGCCAGCAGCCGCGGUAAUACGGAGGAUGCGAGCGUUAUCCGGAUUUAUUGGGUUUAAAGGGUGCGUAGGCGGAAUGCCAAGUCAGCGGUAAAAUCGGGGGGCUCAACCUCGCUCCGCCGUUGAAACUGGCGUUCUUGAGUGGGCGAGAAGUAUGCGGAAUGCGUGGUGUAGCGGUGAAAUGCAUAGAUAUCACGCAGAACUCCGAUUGCGAAGGCAGCAUACCGGCGCCCAACUGACGCUGAAGCACGAAAGCGUGGGUAUCGAACAGGAUUAGAUACCCUGGUA